This 316-nucleotide long non-coding RNA is filed under the name Cricetulus griseus (Chinese hamster). Its description in RNAcentral is "lncRNA (ENSCGRG00015040333.1)". Lineage: Eukaryota; Metazoa; Chordata; Mammalia; Rodentia; Cricetidae. The record is from RNAcentral.
CUUUUUCCCACUGAGUAGUACUUCAUUGUACAAAUGUACUAUGUUUUUUCUAUCCAUUCUUCAAAGGUGAAAAAAACAUAUUUAACAAAAUUAUAGAAGAAAAUUAUCCCAACCUAAAGAAGGGCAUGCCUAUGAAAGUACAAGAAGUUUACCAAACACCAAAUAGACUGGACCAAAAAAAACACUCCACUGACUUCUCCAUGGUUUUGUAAGCAGUAAGGAUGGAAGAGAAUAAUCUCACUCUGAUCUGCAUGGAAGACUACUAGCCAGCUGCCAAACCAGUCCAACUAUCUGGAGGAGGCACAGACCAGCAGAG